RNAcentral lists this ribosomal RNA (253 nucleotides) under uncultured bacterium. Its description in RNAcentral is "partial 16S ribosomal RNA". It matches the Rfam family "Bacterial small subunit ribosomal RNA", at positions 524 to 776 of the family's 1533-position model. The record is from RNAcentral.
UACAGAGGUGGCAAGCGUUGUUCGGAAUCACUGGGCGUAAAGGGCGUGUAGGCGGUUCGGUAAGUGGGAUGUGAAAUGCCCGGGCUCACCCCGGGACCUGCAUCUCAUACUGCUGAGCUUGAGUACAGGAGAGGGUGGGGGAAUUCCUGGUGUAGCGGUGAAAUGCGUAGAUAUCAGGAGGAACACCGGUGGCGAAGGCGCCCACCUGGCCUGCUACUGACGCUGAUGCGCGAAAGCUAGGGGAGCAAACGGG